GCCGGUGUGGCGGAAUUGGUAGACGCACCGCACUCAAAAUGCGGCGGAGCGAUCCGUGCCGGUUCGAGUCCGGCCACCGGUACCA
Molecule: transfer RNA, 85 nt
Filed under: Bacillota bacterium
Lineage: Bacteria; Bacillati; Bacillota
Description: Firmicutes bacterium (gut metagenome) tRNA-Leu
Rfam family: tRNA
About the family: Transfer RNA (tRNA) molecules are approximately 80 nucleotides in length.
Source: RNAcentral